Molecule: long non-coding RNA, 837 nt
Organism: Neomonachus schauinslandi (Hawaiian monk seal)
Lineage: Eukaryota; Metazoa; Chordata; Mammalia; Carnivora; Phocidae
Exons: 4
Source: RefSeq, a predicted model, not a curated record
CUUGGCACUAAAGCCCCUUCCCGGUUCUCUUCCGUGCCCAGGCCGUGCGGGCUCUGCGGCUCUCUUGGGAGCAGAUGGAGACUGUCCCUUGGACGGCUUUGCGGGCCGUGCCGCAGGCAGCACCCCUGUCUGCCCUGCAGGGCCCUGAUCCGCAGCGCCUGAUGCCGCCCCUGUGUGCAGGGGUGAGGCCUGCUGGAUGAGCCCACCAUAUGCAGAGCCAUCAUGGGAGUUGUAUCAGGAAUAUUCUAGACCCCAGUGUCCUUGAGCUUGGAGAAAGAUGAGAUCACGUUGGAACCCAGACACUUGUGACCACCUGCUCUCUGGCAUCCUCCUCACUCUAGGAGAGCUGCCUUGGAUCUGGAGAUUGCUGGAGGAAGCCUGAGGGGAUGGAGGCACUGGCCCUCUCAGGAUGACCUGGGUCUCAGCUGCCCUGGAGAGAACUCCUCAUGAUUAUGCUGGGAUUGAUCGUGGACACUAGAGUAGUAUGAUGAAGAAUAAUGUUGCCAUGUGAAGCAUCACCAGACCUUCUUACCCUGUUGCCUCAGUACAGCAUGGAACGACUUUUCUCUCUGUGUAAGCAGGCCCAGUAAGCAAGGAAAGCCCUGGGACCCUAGAGGCUUGUGGUCCAGAGCUAGAGACUUCAGCUGGUUCUGCCGCUCCCCCAGUGGUGUCACCGAGCACCAUGAACCAGGAAGACCGGUUCCCUUCCACCUGGGUCACGUUGUCCAGCAGCCUCCACGUCUCCCCGCCUACUCCUCCCGUAACUUUUUAGAACCAAGAGUUUUCGGUACUGUGCAUCGUUGUCCUCUCACCCACCCAAUAAAUCUUGAAACUGCC